Molecule: ribosomal RNA, 508 nt
Filed under: uncultured bacterium
Lineage: Bacteria
Description: partial 16S ribosomal RNA
Rfam family: Bacterial small subunit ribosomal RNA
Source: RNAcentral
UGGGGAAUAUUGCACAAUGGGCGAAAGCCUGAUGCAGCAACGCCGCGUGCGGGAUGACGGCCUUCGGGUUGUAAACCGCUUUCAGCAGGGACGAAGGUUUUCUGACGGUACCUGCAGAAGAAGCACCGGCUAACUACGUGCCAGCAGCCGCGGUGAUACGUAGGGUGCGAGCGUUGUCCGGAAUUAUUGGGCGUAAAGAGCUUGCAGGCGGUCCGUUGCGUCGGAAGUGAAAACUCAGGGCUUAACCCUGAGCCUGCUUUCGAUACGGGCGGACUUGAGGGAUGUAGGGGAGAACGGAAUUCCUGGUGGAGCGGUGGAAUGCGCAGAUAUCAGGAGGAACACCAGUGGCGAAGGCGGUUCUCUGGACAUUUCCUGACGCUGAGAAGCGAAAGCGUGGGGAGCAAACAGGCUUAGAUACCCUGGUAGUCCACGCCGUAAACGGUGGCACUAGGUGUGGGACCCAUUCCACGGGUUCCGUGCCGUAGCUAACGCAUUAAGUGCCCCGCCU